This 493-nucleotide ribosomal RNA is filed under the name uncultured bacterium. Its description in RNAcentral is "bacterial SSU rRNA". It matches the Rfam family "Bacterial small subunit ribosomal RNA", at positions 38 to 518 of the family's 1533-position model. The record is from RNAcentral.
GGCGGCGUGCCUAACACAUGCAAGUCGAGCGGGGACAUGCGACGGAUAGGAAGUUUCGGAUGGACUUGAAGAUGCAUUGUUCUAGCGGCGGACGGGUGAGUAACGCGUGAGCAACCUGUCCCUUACAGGGGAUAACACAGCGAAAGUUGUACUAAUACCGCAUGAGACCACGGGAGGACAUCCUCCAGGGGUCAAAGGAGGAAUCCGGUAAGGGGUGGGCUCGCGUCCGAUUAGAUAGUUGGUGAGGUAACGGCCCACCAAGUCGACGAUCGGUAGCCGACCUGAGAGGGUGAUCGGCCACAUUGGGACUGAGACACGGCCCAAACUCCUACGGGAGGCAGCAGUGGGGAAUAUUGGGCAAAUGGGGGAAACCCUGACCCAGCAACGCCGCGUGAGGGAAGAAGGUUUUCGGAUCGUAAACCUCUGUCCUUGGUGAAGAGGAAGAGACGGUAGCCAAGGAGGAAGCCCCGGCUAACUACGUGCCAGCCGCCGC